GUUUGAUCCUGGCUCAGGAUGAACGCUAGCGGCAGGCUUAAUACAUGCAAGUCAAGGGGGUAGCAAUACAACCGGCGCACGGGUGAGUAACGCGUACACAACAUACCAUAUACUGGAGUAUAGCUUUGGGAAACUGAAGGUAAUCCUCCAUAACAUUGCGAGAGGGCAUCUGAUUGCAAUUAAAGUUCCGACGGUAUAUGAUUGGUGUGCGUUUGAUUAGCUAGUUGGUAGGGUAACGGCCUACCAAGGCGACGAUCAAUAGCUGGCGUGAGAGCGCGACCAGCCACACUGGAACUGAGACACGGUCCAGACUCCUACGGGAGGCAGCAGUAGGGAAUAUUGGACAAUGGGCGAAAGCCUGAUCCAGCCAUGCCGCGUGAUAGAUGAAGGCCCUCUGGGUUGUAAAUAUCUUUUAUCUGGGAAGAAACUCCUCUAUUCUUAGAGGCCUGACGGUACCAGAGGAAUAAGCACCGGCUAACUCCGUG
Molecule: ribosomal RNA, 485 nt
Filed under: uncultured bacterium
Lineage: Bacteria
Description: bacterial SSU rRNA
Rfam family: Bacterial small subunit ribosomal RNA
Source: RNAcentral